GCGGUCAUAAUUUAAUUAAAAUACUAAACUGUGAACUUAGCAACAGGAGCACACCACUCCUUGACCACC
This 69-nucleotide transfer RNA is filed under the name Pristurus rupestris rupestris. RNAcentral's name for it is "tRNA-His". The record is from RNAcentral. Lineage: Eukaryota; Metazoa; Chordata; Lepidosauria; Squamata; Sphaerodactylidae.